UUGCUUUACUCUUCUGUGAUUCUUUCUUCUUCUCCAUUUUCUAUUUUACAGGUGGCUGAGAGAAACUAGUGAAGAAGAAAGCCGCACGACAUUUUUGUAUUCUUGAUUUCUUUAUUUCUGAUAGUAUUUUCAAUUUAGAAUUUAAACUGCGCUGCGUGGGUUUGAUCAUUCGGCAUUCUGAUUUAAGAAAUGUAGGAGUCAAAGAACUUGAUAAACAAUAUGUGGUGGGGUGUGAGAAAGAAGAAGAUAUGGGGUGGUAGGGUGUGAGGAAGAAAAGAAACGCAGUGGUGGGGUGUGACGAAGGAAAAGAAAUAGGGGUGGUGGGGU
Molecule: long non-coding RNA, 327 nt
Filed under: Capsicum annuum
Lineage: Eukaryota; Viridiplantae; Streptophyta; Magnoliopsida; Solanales; Solanaceae
Description: long non-coding RNA (CANN_LNC012881)
Source: RNAcentral